GACGAACGCUGGCGGCGUGCUUAACACAUGCAAGUCGAACGGAAAGGCCCUGCUUUUGUGGGGUGCUCGAGUGGCGAACGGGUGAGUAACACGUGAGUAACCUGCCCUUGACUUUGGGAUAACUUCAGGAAACUGGGGCUAAUACCGGAUAGGAGCUCCUGCUGCAUGGUGGGGGUUGGAAAGUUUCGGCGGUUGGGGAUGGACUCGCGGCUUAUCAGCUUGAUGGUGGGGUAGUGGUAUACCAAGGCUUUGACGGAUAGCCGGCCUGAGAGGGUGACCGGCGACAUUGGUACUGAGAUACGGCCCAGACUGGUACGGGAGGCAGCAGGGGGGAAUAUUGCACAAUGGGCGGAAGCCUGAGGCAGCAACGCCGCGUGCGGGAUGACGGCCUUCGAGUUGUAAACCGCUGUCGCCUGUAACGAAGCGUGAGUGACGGUAAUGGGUAAAGAAGCACCGGCUAACUACGUG
RNAcentral lists this ribosomal RNA (468 nucleotides) under uncultured bacterium. Its description in RNAcentral is "partial 16S ribosomal RNA". It matches the Rfam family "Bacterial small subunit ribosomal RNA", at positions 28 to 507 of the family's 1533-position model. The record is from RNAcentral.